CGGUAAUACCAGCUCUCCGAGUGGUGGGGAUGUUUAUUGGGCCUAAAGCAUUCGUAGCCUGCUUGGCAAGUCCUCCGUUAAAUCCAACGAUUCAAUCGUUGGGCUGCGGGGGGUACUGUCCGGCUAGGGGGCGGGAGAGGCCGACGGUAUCCUCGGGGUAGGGGUGAAAUCCUAUAAUCCCGGGAGGACCACCAGUGGCGAAGGCUGUCGGCUAGAACGCG
Molecule: ribosomal RNA, 221 nt
Filed under: uncultured archaeon
Lineage: Archaea
Description: partial 16S ribosomal RNA
Rfam family: Archaeal small subunit ribosomal RNA
Source: RNAcentral